AACGCUUGAAUACAUUAGCAUGGAAUAAUGAAUAGGACGUUCGAUCCUAUUUCGUUGGUUUUCUUAGGAUUGACGUAAUGAUUAAUAGGGAUAUUGGGGGCAUUAGUAUUCAAUUGUCAGAGGUGAAAUUCUUUGGAUUUAUUGAAGACUAACUACUGCGAAAGCAUUUUGCCAAGGAUGUUUUCAUUAAUCAAGAACGAAAGUUAGGGGCUCGAAGACGAUCAGAUACCGUCGUAGUCUUAACCAUAAACUAUGCCGACUAGGGAUCGGAUGAUGUUAAUUUUUAAUGACUCAUUCGGCGCCUUACG
RNAcentral lists this ribosomal RNA (308 nucleotides) under uncultured Glomus. RNAcentral describes it as "SSU rRNA". It matches the Rfam family "Eukaryotic small subunit ribosomal RNA", at positions 790 to 1092 of the family's 1831-position model. The record is from RNAcentral. Lineage: Eukaryota; Fungi; Glomeromycota; Glomeromycetes; Glomerales; Glomeraceae.